UCAACUUCACCUUGAACCCAUCAAGUACUACUCCACUCAGUCCCGAUAGAUCCCACAGUUCUUUAGGGUCAAACUGUGGAAUUGGAAAGGGUUUUUGAAGUUCAAUAAGGUGUCUGCCAGGAGGAGCAACAGGGCAGUUGUACAACAGGGUAAUGUUUCUGUACUCAUCAUGAUAAGGAUAAUAAUCGAAGUGCUGCAAAUCAAGAAUGGAAUCUUUUAGAUAUGUUGGACAACUUCCCUCCCCCAUCUCCAACACGUCUUCUCUUGCAAUUUUAAGAGUUGGAUGCCCCAGUUUGAUGACCCGGUAUUUAACUCCCAUGAUGAGCAUGGUGGUGAUAUUACGACUCUCAUCGCAAACGAGCUCAAAUCUUGGAAGCCCACAUUCCCUGGGCCUUUGACCAUCUCCCCAGAAAGGAUAACCCACAUCCUUGAUACUGUCGCCACAGCUGAAAUUUUUUUCGCAGUGGCUGUAUAAUUCAUCGUUGUAGCAUAAACAUAGAGGAAUUCGAAUGAGAGCCAAUAGUUCAAUGAUAGAGAAGAGGGAGAGAAACGAAGAAAAAAUCUGGAAAUUCAUUUGAUGAACCAGAAAAUGGGCUUUUCUCGAUCUGAAUAGUGGAGAGAGAUGGGGAAAGCUACCAAAUCUAGUUAUCUUAUUUGGUGGGUGAUGGGAAAUUGCCUGGCUGACACGGGAGGAAGGGACUGCUGAGGCCAUGAAUAUUUCGCCAGUUACUUGGCAUCCAUAUUUGAUGCGUUACGAAUGGUUUAAGAGUCCUUACCCCGAAGACCCGCAGCUUGACCUUGUAAAUGGGUACAGCAGAGUGGCUGUGUCGCCCAUGAAGAUGAGAGCAUACAGUUGAAAAAAUCAAACCAGUGCUUAUUGAGACUCUUCGGCCCACCUCGCACUUCACGGUGUUUGGCUGAAAAUAAUACGGUAAGCAGAGCACAGCAAUGUAGAGGAUUCAUAAAGCAAAUUACAGAAUGCACAAAACGAAGGGACAGAAGAGCUCACUUCGUAGAAUCUGAGAUGAAUGAGUUACAAUGAACAAAAGGACAAGCUAAUAAUUAAUAUAAUUAGGGGCAGGGGAGAUCUAGGAAUUUUUAGUGGUGAUGAAUUAAUAUUUAUAGUGACGAAGUGAGUAGUAUAGAAAACUAUUUAAGAGAAGGCAAAUGUUUAUCAAUUAUUGUAAGUCUCACUAAUAAUUUUAAAUGUCUUUAGCCUAGUUGUCUCUCUCCCUGAACACUAGUUGCUUCCAAAAAUGUGAUUAAUGAAUUGAAUUGCUUUAUAGUUUA
Malania oleifera is the source of this 1290-nucleotide long non-coding RNA. RefSeq lists it as uncharacterized. The transcript is spliced from 2 exons. The record is from RefSeq and is a predicted model, not a curated record. Lineage: Eukaryota; Viridiplantae; Streptophyta; Magnoliopsida; Santalales; Ximeniaceae.